Molecule: ribosomal RNA, 250 nt
Filed under: uncultured bacterium
Lineage: Bacteria
Description: partial 16S ribosomal RNA
Rfam family: Bacterial small subunit ribosomal RNA
Source: RNAcentral
UACGUAGGGGGCGAGCGUUGUUCGGAUUUACUGGGCGUAAAGAGCGCGUAGGCGGCCGGAUAAGUCCGUUGUGAAAUCCCCCGGCUCAACCGGGGACCCGCUUCGGAAACUAUCCGGCUUGAGUCGCGGAGAGGAGAGCGGAAUUCCCAGUGUAGCGGUGAAAUGCGUAGAUAUUGGGAGGAACACCGGUGGCGAAGGCGGCUCUCUGGACGCGUACUGACGCUGAGGCGCGAAAGCUAGGGGAGCAAAC